Molecule: small RNA, 468 nt
Filed under: Nostoc sp. PCC 6310
Lineage: Bacteria; Bacillati; Cyanobacteriota; Cyanophyceae; Nostocales; Nostocaceae
Description: bacterial LSU rRNA
Rfam family: Bacterial small subunit ribosomal RNA (bases 1-122)
Source: RNAcentral
GUCACGCCCGAAGUCGUUACUCCAACCUUUCGGGGGGGAGGAUGCCUAAGGCAGGACUGGUGACUGGGGUGAAGUCGUAACAAGGUAGCCGUACCGGAAGGUGUGGCUGGAUCACCUCCUUUUUAGGGAGACCUACACCCCUUACAUAUCGAAAAACACACAGUUAAAUAGAUAGUAAGUUGGUCUAACCUAGGUCGGUCGAGAUUGGUAUAAAGCUUUCAAAGUAUUAAUGGUUCAGAAUAUCAAACAAAACAUAAAAUUUUGUGAGAGUUCAGCAACAUGACUUAAUUGAGUCAGACUGCUGAGUUGAUCUCAGCCAGAACCUUGAAAACUGCAUAGUAACGCGAAAUUAGCAGGCAGACACAGACAUUCUGAAAGAAUGUUGAGUGAAUGCAAAAUGUGAAACACCAAAUGUAUUGAGUGGUCAAGCUAAUAAGGGCUAACGGUGGAUACCUAGGCACACAGAGG